This 301-nucleotide ribosomal RNA is filed under the name uncultured bacterium. RNAcentral's name for it is "partial 16S ribosomal RNA". It matches the Rfam family "Bacterial small subunit ribosomal RNA", at positions 509 to 809 of the family's 1533-position model. The record is from RNAcentral.
CAGCCGCCGCGGGAAUACGGAGGGGGCUAGCGUUGUUCGGAAUUACUGGGCGUAAAGCGCACGUAGGCGGCUUGGUAAGUUAGAGGUGAAAGCCCGGAGCUCAACUCCGGAAUUGCCUUUAAGACUGCCGAGCUAGUAGGUGAGAGAGGUAAGUGGAAUUCCGAGUGUAGAGGUGAAAUUCGUAGAUAUUCGGAAGAACACCAGUGGCGAAGGCGGCUUACUGGCUCAUUCUAGACGCUGAGGUGCGAAAGCGUGGGGAGCAAACAGGAUUAGAUACCCCCGUAGUCCCUGUCUCUUAUAA